UCUGGUCGCAAUUGAGGGAGGAAG
This 24-nucleotide non-coding RNA is filed under the name Arabidopsis thaliana (thale cress). Lineage: Eukaryota; Viridiplantae; Streptophyta; Magnoliopsida; Brassicales; Brassicaceae. The record is from RNAcentral.